GAGGAGCUGCCCCUAGUACGAGAGGACCGGGGUGGACAGACCGCUGGUGUGCCAGUUGUCGUGCCAACGGCAUCGCUGGGUAGCUAAGUCUGGCAGAGAUAACCGCUGAAAGCAUCUAAGUGGGAAACUCGCCUCAAGAUGAGAUCCCUCAUCCUGAAAGGGAGUAAGGCCGCAGGAAGACUACCUGCUUGAUAGGCGGCGGGUGUAAGUGCAGCAAUGCAUUGAGCCAAGCCGUACUAAUGGCCGAGGGCUUGCUCCA
RNAcentral lists this non-coding RNA (259 nucleotides) under Chloroflexi bacterium RBG_16_57_11. RNAcentral describes it as "partial 23S ribosomal RNA". It matches the Rfam family "Bacterial large subunit ribosomal RNA", at positions 2666 to 2925 of the family's 2925-position model. The record is from RNAcentral. Lineage: Bacteria; Bacillati; Chloroflexota.